RNAcentral lists this ribosomal RNA (277 nucleotides) under uncultured archaeon. Its description in RNAcentral is "partial 16S ribosomal RNA". It matches the Rfam family "Archaeal small subunit ribosomal RNA", at positions 321 to 602 of the family's 1478-position model. The record is from RNAcentral.
CCCUACGGGGUGCAGCAGGCGCGAAAACUUUACAAUGCAGGAAACUGUGAUAAGGGAACCCCGAGUGCCUGUAUGGACAGGCUGUUCAGGUGCGCAAAAAACACUUGGAGAAAGGGCCGGGCAAGACCGGUGCCAGCCGCCGCGGUAAUACCGGCGGCUCGAGUGGUGGCCACUAUUACUGGGCUUAAAGCGUCCGUAGCUGGGUAGUUAAGUCUCUGGGGAAAUCUUCCGGCUUAACCGUAAGGCGUCUCAGAGAUACUGGCUACCUUGGGAUCGG